Molecule: long non-coding RNA, 2552 nt
Organism: Lepidothrix coronata (blue-crowned manakin)
Lineage: Eukaryota; Metazoa; Chordata; Aves; Passeriformes; Pipridae
Exons: 4
Source: RefSeq, a predicted model, not a curated record
CAGGGGAGAGUAAGGGAGUAAACAACUUUUUGGCGGGAAAAACGUGAGAGCAAGUCCAGACAAGCCCUGAACAAUACAAACCAAGGGGAUUAACAUAGAAAUAUAUGUGGGGGUACAUUAAACAUGGUAUGAAACUGGGCAAUAACAUGAAAGUCCGUGAAUUUUUAGCUCUUUCAGGCUCCAUAUAAGUCCCUCCAGGCUUUGAAUCUCUCCCAAUCACUUUGAUGUUCCUCCUCAAUAAACUGUGCAGGGUGUCCUGACUGUACAACAUAGACCCACCUUUGGGCCUGCCCAGCACCAAGGAAACCUACCAAAACCAUUGCAACAGUCUGCCUGUGGAAAACAGCCUGGUGCUUUCCAGGACAGCCUGAAGGGCAAGACUCCACUACCCCAGACCGAGAGGCACCCCAGACACUGUCAGCGUCAUUCCAGCUGUAGUCCUGGUCUGAAGAAGACCAAGGACUCACCAGCUCACCACAGGCAGUUGCCAACAGCCGAAGAUCAGCUGGAUCAGGCAAAACACGAGCAAAUGUCCGUGAAAUAUGAAAGUUAAAACGUCACGGGAGUGGGUUGUCUUCUUUCUUUCCUUCCUUCCUCUUUUCUUUUAUGGGUUGUCUUCUUUCUUUCCUUCCUUCCUCUUUUCUUUUAUCUCCACUCAACUGGUUAAAUCAAUUGUAGUAAGAAGACAUCUUCCAGCCCCCAAAACAUUACCCUUAUUGAGGGAUUUUGUUUCAUUCACUCUGUAAAACUACUUCAGGAUGUUAAAUGUGAAAUCCAGUCUCCCUGUCUCCGUUUUUAUAUGCUCAGGAUGUUUUUUCUUUUAAACUUAUACAUUAGUUGAGGCCACAGCAAUAUCUUUUGUGAAGGUGACCAGGGGAAUGAAAAUGCUGAUAGGGAAGUGCAUCUUUGUUUUAACAAAAUCAGAUGAAGGAAAUGGAAUAACAUUAUAAACCAUGUCAGGCAUUUUUGAUUCCACAGUGUGCAGCUGUGCCCUCUGAAAGUACUUCCUGAAUCCUGCAGAGUUACAGUGGGUGGUGAGGUAUCUCUCUGGGGAAAUGCAAGUUUCAUUAAGCCUCUUCUGGGUUUCUAAUCCUCAGUUGUAAAUUACUAAGGUACAGAAGCCAAAAUGCUGCAUGAGCCUGGGAACUUCCUUCUUUGCUAACCCCUUUUCAAGAUAGAUUUUUGAUUAUGUAGAGAUUUGGAACUUUUCCUCAAAAUAGGUGAUACCUGUUGCCUCUUUGCUGUAUGACACAUGUGCUUGUUCAGGUGCAGGUAACACCACACCACCCACAGCAGAGUGCAGGAUUGUGUUUCUACCUGUGUUUCAGACCAAGAUUUUCUGACUACUUCUGGCAGGCUGCAAGACUUCUAUGCAAUUAUAAGAUUAAAAACCUGCCAGUAUGCUCUCCUGUGCACCCAGACUCAAAGUGAUCCAUCAUAAAAGCUACACUUUUUUUUUUUCCUAUCUUUCAUAAAGCCCUUUGGAUUGCUUGACUCUUCUGGGUGCUGUAAAUUAUAUUAACUGGAGAGCGGAAAGGGAGGCUUUGUGAGAUGAGGGUCUAAUUCUCUUAUUGCAGGAUAUGGUGCUUUUUCUCUGUUUAUUCUUUUAUUUCAGGAUAUGGUGCUUUUUCUGCAUUAGGCCUCUUGAGUCUCUAUAGACCAGGAGUACGUGAUAAUUUAAGAUCAUGCAGGUGCUCAUUCAGGAAGCAGCUGACCUAAAAUCAGGACUGUUUUUGAAAAGACAAAUCUACCUGUAUGAGCUGUCACUUCUGCCUCAUCUCUCCUCGGAAGAGAACAAAAGUGAAGAAAGGUGUCAGAAAGCAAAGAAGACUCAGGGCCAGUUUCAAGCAACAUUCACUUCUCCGAGCACACAUAAUACUCAAAAGAUCCAAGAUCUUGAAAUGAACAAAGCUGCAUCCUUUUCCUUUUUUCAGUCAUGGUGUUCCAUACAGAGGGACUUCACUUCCAGAGGCCAUCAAGACAAGUGAAAUCAACAUAAAUGCACAGGAACACCUCGAGGUGCUGGAGAAGACAGAGCAGGGGAGCUGAACGGCCAAUGCAGAUGUGAUUUCCUCAAAAUGUUUUGUCUUAAAGCUUAUCUCAGAGUAUGAUGAAAACAAGUGGUGGGAAGAAAAAAAGCCUAACAGACACAGAAAAUACAGCCAUUAGGCCAAACAGUGGCAGUCAGAUAACCUUCUAAGGCCAGUUUCUGAGGUGCAUUAAAACUGCAACAGGAAAAAGGUAGGACUGGGUUUAUGUCUUUGUGUCCAAGGUGUAACAUUAUGAGCGGUUGGCCCCAAAUGUCUUCCAAGAAUGUGCUGAUUCCCACUGUGAAUCUGGAGAGCUUCCUUUGGUGAACUGCAAACUUUCUGAAGACAGACUGUGGCUCUCAUUUGUGUUUCAGUGGUGUGGUUGAAACAUCUGAGACACCCAAGGGCCCCUUGCAGCAGAGGAAACCUAAACCUGAAUGGGUCCAGUGAACUGUUUCCAUCAACCAAAAUAUGGCCAUUCCUCCACAAUUUUUAUGCAGGUAUAGGCAAGAGAAAGAGAAU